RNAcentral lists this ribosomal RNA (274 nucleotides) under uncultured bacterium. RNAcentral's name for it is "partial 16S ribosomal RNA". It matches the Rfam family "Bacterial small subunit ribosomal RNA", at positions 523 to 796 of the family's 1533-position model. The record is from RNAcentral.
CUACGGAGGGGGCUAGCGUUGUUCGGAAUUACUGGGCGUAAAGCGCGCGUCGGCGGAUCGUUAAGUCAGGGGUGAAAGCCCGGAGCUCCACUCCGGAACUGCCCUUGAUACUGGCGAUCUCGAGUCCGAGAGAGGUGAGCGGAAUUCCUAGUGUAGAGGUGAAAUUCGUAGAUAUUAGGAGGAACACCAGUGGCGAAGGCGGCUCACUGGCCCGGUACUGACGCUGAGGUGCGAAAGCGUGGGGAGCAAACAGGAUUAGAAACCCUAGUAGUCC